AUUGAACGCUGGCGGAAUGCUUUACACAUGCAAGUCGAACGGCAGCACGGGGCAACCUGGUGGCGAGUGGCGAACGGGUGAGUAAUACAUCGGAACGUGCCCAAUCGUGGGGGAUAACGUAGCGAAAGUUACGCUAAUACCGCAUACGAUCUACGGAUGAAAGCGGGGGAUCGUAAGACCUCGCGUUAAUGGAGCGGCCGAUGCCGGAUUAGCUAGUUGGUGAGGUAAAGGCUCACCAAGGCGACGAUCCGUAGCUGGUCUGAGAGGACGACCAGCCACACUGGAACUGAGACACGGUCCAGACUCCUACGGGAGGCAGCAGUGGGGGAAUUUUGGACAAUGGGCGCAAGCCUGAUCCAGCCAUGCCGCGUGUGUGAAGAAGGCCU
Molecule: ribosomal RNA, 386 nt
Filed under: uncultured bacterium
Lineage: Bacteria
Description: bacterial SSU rRNA
Rfam family: Bacterial small subunit ribosomal RNA
Source: RNAcentral